GCAGCUGAUCAGCAUGCGCGUGAGUGAGAGCUCGAUGUAAGCUCUGUAGCUGACGAU
RNAcentral lists this ribosomal RNA (57 nucleotides) under uncultured bacterium. Its description in RNAcentral is "partial 16S ribosomal RNA". The record is from RNAcentral.